GUCCGAGUGGCCGAAGGAGCAUGAUUGGAAAUCAUGUGUACGGGAAACUGUACCGAGGGUUCAAAUCCCUCUCUCUCCGCCA
Molecule: transfer RNA, 82 nt
Filed under: Sporomusaceae bacterium
Lineage: Bacteria; Bacillati; Bacillota; Negativicutes; Selenomonadales; Sporomusaceae
Description: tRNA-Ser
Rfam family: tRNA
About the family: Transfer RNA (tRNA) molecules are approximately 80 nucleotides in length. Their secondary structure includes four short double-helical elements and three loops (D, anti-codon, and T loops).
Source: RNAcentral